AGUGAACGCUGGCGGCAGGCCUAACACAUGCAAGUCGAACGGCAGCAUAGUAAGAGCUUGCUCUUACGGGUGGCGAGCGGCGGACGGGUGCGGAAUACAUCGGAAUCUACUUUUUCGUGGGGGAUAACGCAGGGAAACUUACGCUAAUACCGCAUACGACCUACGGGUGAAAGCAGGGGUUCUUCUGACCUUGUGCGAUUGAAUGAGCCGAUGUCGGAUUAGCUAGGUGGCGGGGUAAAGGGCCACCAAGGCGACGAUCGGUAACUGGUCUGAGAGGAUGAUCAGCCAGACGGGAAGUGAGGCAGGUCCCAGACUCCUACAGGAGGCAGCAGUGGGGAAUCUUAGGCAAUGGGGGAAAGCCUGAUCCAGCCAUACCGCGUGAGUGAAGAAGGCGUUCUGGUUGUAGAAUGCUGUUGUUGGGAAAAAAAAGCAGCAGUUUAACACCCCGCUGUUCUGACGGUACCCGAAGAAUAAGCACCGGCUAACUUCGUG
This 492-nucleotide ribosomal RNA is filed under the name uncultured bacterium. RNAcentral's name for it is "partial 16S ribosomal RNA". It matches the Rfam family "Bacterial small subunit ribosomal RNA", at positions 29 to 507 of the family's 1533-position model. The record is from RNAcentral.